This 556-nucleotide ribosomal RNA is filed under the name uncultured Glomus. RNAcentral describes it as "SSU rRNA". It matches the Rfam family "Eukaryotic small subunit ribosomal RNA", at positions 548 to 1103 of the family's 1831-position model. The record is from RNAcentral. Lineage: Eukaryota; Fungi; Glomeromycota; Glomeromycetes; Glomerales; Glomeraceae.
UUGGAGGGCAAGUCUGGUGCCAGCAGCCGCGGUAAUUCCAGCUCCAAUAGCGUAUAUUAAAGUUGUUGCAGUUAAAAAGCUCGUAGUUGAACUUCGGGGUUCACCCAUUGGUCAGGCUUAAUUGUCUGUACUGGUGAGAUGGAUCUCUACCUUCUGAGGAACUUUCAUGCCAUUUAUUUGGUGUGAUUGGAAAUCGGGACUGUUACUUUGAAAAAAUUAGAGUGUUUAAAGCAGGCUAACGUCUGAAUACAUUAGCAUGGAAUAAUGAAAUAGGACGGAUUGAUUCUAUUUCGUUGGUUUCUAGGAUCACCGUAAUGAUUAAUAGGGAUAGUUGGGGGCAUUAGUAUUCAAUUGUCAGAGGUGAAUUUCUUGGAUUUAUUGAAGACUAACUACUGCGAAAGCAUUUGCCAAGGAUGUUUUCAUUAAUCAAGAACGAAAGUUAGGGGAUCGAAGACGAUCAGAUACCGUCGUAGUCUUAACCAUAAACUAUGCCGACUAGGGAUCGGACGCAGUUAAUUUUAUAAUGACGUGUUCGGCACCUUACGGGAAACCAAAG